UUGAAGGAUUGGAAGACUUCAACUUGCAUACUUGAAGAAUUUAAAGAUUUCAACUUGCAAACUUGGCUGAAUUUCAAGACUUCAAAA
RNAcentral lists this microRNA precursor (87 nucleotides) under Solanum tuberosum (potato). RNAcentral describes it as "MIR8024 microRNA precursor family". It matches the Rfam family "MIR8024 microRNA precursor family". Lineage: Eukaryota; Viridiplantae; Streptophyta; Magnoliopsida; Solanales; Solanaceae. The record is from Rfam by way of RNAcentral.